AAGUCGUAACAAGGUUUCCGUAGGUGAACCUGCGGAAGGAUCAUUAUCAUAACGUAUCCACGUAUAAACCAACUUUAAAUUGAUGUGAAACGUAACUGUUUUAACACCUCGAGAUAAUCAGAUGAUUGCUAUACUUUAACAUUGUUUGCGUGAUUAAAGCAAAAACGGUUUAGUAUGGACCUGUGCCUGUAACAAGGUGCUAGCGCUGAUUAUUUGGAGUGUAAAAAUUUAAUCAACUAUUAACCCAUUGAACCGAAUUACUAUAUUCUUAACUGAGUUUAGUUAUUCAUUUUAAUUUCUAUUGUGUGAACUGAAUUGUCUACUUACUUGACACCGUCAUUGGUGGAGAGAAGUCGAUUAUAUUUACGAAACAUUAUAAAUUUCUAUGAACAACUCUUAGCAACGGAUAUCUUGGUUCUC
This 420-nucleotide unclassified non-coding RNA is filed under the name fungal sp. RNAcentral's name for it is "partial internal transcribed spacer region". The stretch from base 1 to 46 matches the Rfam family "Eukaryotic small subunit ribosomal RNA", at positions 1786 to 1831 of the family's 1831-position model. The record is from RNAcentral. Lineage: Eukaryota; Fungi.